Molecule: ribosomal RNA, 109 nt
Filed under: Candidatus Tayloriibacteriota bacterium
Lineage: Bacteria; Candidatus Tayloriibacteriota
Source: RNAcentral
UAAGGCGACUAUACUGAUGGUGCUCCACCUGAUCCCAUUCCGAACUCAGAAGUGAAAUCCAUCAAGGCUGAUGAUAGCGAUUAUUCGCAAAAGUAAGUAGUCGCCCUAC